CUGAUUAAUUGAAUGGCCGCAGUAUUCUAACUGUGCAAAGGUAGCAUAAUCAUUAGUUUUUUAAUUGAAAGCUUGUAUGAAUGAUUGGACGAGAUAUUAGCUGUCUCAUUAAAAUUAUUUGAAUUUUAUUUUUUAGUUAAAAAGCUAAAAUUUGUUUAAAAGACGAGAAGACCCUAUAGAUCUUUAUAAUUAAGAUUUUUUGUAUUUUUGUAGUUUAUUUAUUAUAUUAAAAAUUAAAUUAUUUUGUUGGGGUGACAAUGAAAUUUAUAAAACUUUUGUUAUUCUUAAACCAUAAAUUAAUGAAUUAUUGAUCCUUUAUUAUAGAUUAAAAAUUUAAGUUACCUUAGGGAUAACAGCGUAAUUAUUUUGGAGAGUUCAUAUCAAUAAAAUAGAUUGCGACCUCGAUGUUGGAUUAAGAUUAAUUUUUGGUGCAGAAGCUAAAAAUAUUAAGUCUGUUCGACUU
This 463-nucleotide ribosomal RNA is filed under the name Neurigona sp. 1 SNK-2009. RNAcentral's name for it is "partial 16S ribosomal RNA". It matches the Rfam family "Bacterial large subunit ribosomal RNA", at positions 1912 to 2587 of the family's 2925-position model. Lineage: Eukaryota; Metazoa; Arthropoda; Insecta; Diptera; Dolichopodidae. The record is from RNAcentral.